Molecule: long non-coding RNA, 5531 nt
Organism: Gasterosteus aculeatus aculeatus (three-spined stickleback)
Lineage: Eukaryota; Metazoa; Chordata; Actinopteri; Perciformes; Gasterosteidae
Source: Ensembl
GCCCACCAGCCGUUGGCCCUUUUCGACAAAAAGGGCUUUUGUCUUUGUUCUUGUGAGUCACACAGCUGUCGGAUCUUAGACCACUAACAUCUGGGCAGGUUUCGGCACCAAAACCGCUGGGUUCAAGAAUUAUUAUUGCCAAUCUAAAGUUUGGGGACUAUUGCUGAGACGGUUACAAUAACAACAAGUUGGAUAAAGUUAUGGGACAAGGACACCGUCAUUUCCCCGUGAUGUUUUGUGGACAACAUUUUUUAAUGUCUAUCUACACACCCUUUUUCUUUCUUCUUGAUCCAGUGUUUCUGUUGUUGCGUCGUGUGACUUGUCGAUGCAAGACAACGGAGGAAACGUGAACGAGGUGGAGACGGGGGAUGCUGGUGUUGACGGUUUUCAGAGUCGGAGUACAGGAAGUUGUUUUUCUGGCGAGAACAUUCUCAGAAAAUCCGCUUCCGUACACUUUGAAUUUCGGGACUUGUGUGUUGUUUGCUGUCUAAUCUAUCACCCUCCAAUGUUGUAGUAUACAGCACAUAUAUACAUAGCUGGACAUAUUCAAAGCUUUAUAUUCUGUGCCCGUUAAUGGCAGAAUGUCUAUAAGUCACGAAUCCUUUCUUUCAUUACUGAGACAAUAUCACAAAUGAGCGUUGCUCUGGGUUUGUUUUAUGAUUGAAAGCCAGUGGGCACUGAACAAGAUGACGGCCACUCUGACCUUUUACUGCAGCGGGGUUUUGUUUCCAUCACUCGAUCAACGGUGGACUUCAUUUAUUUCUGUCCUUCCUCGGGGGUAAAUAAGACCCCGCUCUGCCAGAGAGGAGUCUGGGUAAUGAGGCUUGUGUCUUUAGAAUCUCUACAUCCAACAGUUCAUGGGUCAACCUGGGGGAUACGGGGGGAAUGGUGAUGGAACUGGAGGAAUCCUUUUAUAUUACAUAGAUGUGUGUGUGUGUGUGUGUGUGUGUGUGUGUGUGUGUGUGUGUGUGUGUGUGUGUGUGUGUGUGUGUGUGUGUGUGAGGAGGCGGACUCCUGUGAAGAAAUUCAAAUAUAAAAUUGGUUAUAAGGGCGGAGGCUCUGUGCCGAAGAAGCGUUCCUGCGGGUAGGAGGGGAAAGGUCAGGGACACGGGGGGGUUGGGUUAGGGAGCGCAUGCGGCGAGAGGGGGUUGGGGGGUGGUGGGGGGGGGUCAAUGAUGUGAAUUCCAUCGAUCGGCAGCUUCCUGACAAGUGUUCAGUGAUUUCCCGUCCCCGGCAGAAAUAUUGUGCUUGUUAAUCCAUUUGAGUCGGGGCAGCAAGGGGGGGCUCAGGCCAGGAGGCAGCGUGCAUGCGUGUUUGCGUGCGUGAGUUUGUGUGUGUGUGUGUGUGUGUGUGUGUAUGUCUGGGGGGGGGGGGGGUCAAUGCAAACAGGAUGCUAAUGAGCCGGCGCUAAUCAAUGUGUGCUUAAUCAGCUAUUCAGCUCUUAGUGGCCACGGGAAGAGGAGGGGAGCGGCGAGCGAGUGUUGGGAGGAGUUCAUGAGAAAGUGCAAGCUCAAACUCUGGUUCCCUCCCUUCCUUCAGAACAUUAGUUCACAGGGAUUCCUCGGUGACUGCAGGCUUACUCGCCUUCAGACAGCAGUUCUGGGCUUCCUGAAUGAGCGCCCGAUGCUCAAUGAUAUGCGGCCUGAAAGACGGCGGCGGCGUGUUUUGUGACUUUUGAACGUGUGCGUUUGGCUCGGGUUCCCCGGGACAAAUGGAGUGCAAGAGAGAUAAGAUGGGAUGUCAUUUUUGAGGUCCAAAAGGUAUUUCCCCCAUGGACCAUUAUUCUAAAAGACUCGUCUGUUAACACCUCAAACUGAAAGCAGGAUAAUUAGGACUGUUACAGUCUGACUUUUUGAUCUGUGGAGGUUUUAUCUGUAAAACGUUUCUUGAGCUGAAAAUAAAAGUGACGAUAUCUCAAUAUAAAGUCUACGGUCAGAGUGGGAAAACCCCCCAAAAGAUGUAAGGGGUACGUCCUAGUACUUCUCAUGCUAGGAUCUAGUAGUUCUUAAUAUAAAUCCAUCGUCUAGUUACGGAUGCUAAGUUAUGAUGUUUUUGUUUAUGGUGUUAUGCACUUAUUCAUCGAAAGAAAAGUCAUUGUGAGGAUCACUCAUUCACUCAUUCUCACAAACAGAUAUUAUUUUUCUUUCACGAGGAAUCAAUGGCGUAGUACAUAAUGCCCUGGUUCAUAAACUUUCAUUAUUUAAUCCGCUCCCACAGGACAUUUUCUCACUUUUCCCUUUUUUCCCCAGCGAGGUUGUGUUUUGAGUCGUGCAUUAAUCCUGUUCUUUACCCACUCACAAAAAGGCCACGACUCAAUCAGUCUCCCGUCCUGCACAACGGGCGCCUUUAAAAAAUGACUCCAUGCCCUGAGUUGACAGCCCAAAGAUGGGAAGAGAGGAAUUAAUCUCACAGAAAGAGCCAGAAACAAAAAUGGGAGGCGGGAGUGGAAGGAGGGCGGGGGGGUAAACAACCUGUGCGUUUGGCUCACAAAUUCGACACAAAUACCACAGCACAGGGUUCCGCACGCACACACGCACACCCACGGGUCCGGUGUGUGUGUGUGUGUGUGUGUGUGUGAAGUGGGGGGGGGGCAGGGAUCAAUACAUAUUACGCUCUAAUCUGUAUCGCCGUGGGCCGCCUUCGCAGGAAGGGUUUCUAUUUAUUUUUUGGGGGGAAGGGGGGGGAACUUAUGAAGCGUCUGCGAAGUUGAACUACCGGCCCGAGGGAAACGGGACCCCUGUGUACUCUGUAACAAGCCGGGGGGGUCAGUGCGAACCCCUUGUGGCCUCAGAGCCCCCAAACGGCUGUCGCUAGGGGCCACUUUCACCGGCUUGCGCCAAACAGGACGUGACCCGAGGGCAAGAAGGAGCGUGUCGGCGUGCGACAUCGAAACGCGGAGGCAGGUGUGACGCGGGAAGGGAUGCAGAUUGAGGGGAGGAGGGGGGAGGAAUGAAAAAGGAGAGAUGGCGUUUGUCUCUCUGAGGCCGUCCGUUGUGGAUCCCAACUGCCAGUUAACGUGUCACAUCGCGGCGCGUCUCGCACUCCUCAUUUAUACUUCAUCGCUGCUCUUGAUCAUUCCCCUCAUUCCUCCCGUGAGGCGGCGGCGUGUAAAUAGGGGAUGCCCGAUGGAUUUACUGUGCAGGAGUAUACGCAUUAACAUGCCCAACGGUUGUCACACACACACACACACACACCAAAUCCGUGACUGUAAUUUAAAUGGCUCAAGUCUGAUGUCGUGUCGUUUUGGCUUGUGUUGGGGAAUGUUUGAUGAGGCCGCAUCAUUACGACCCCCGUCUAUCGGCGCAUCUAUCCGGGUAAAUGAGAAAUGGCUCUCGUUUGAGCCGGAAAGCCGAGCUGUCAUUAGCCCGUCUUCAAAUACGCCCACGAGCUCUAAUGAUGCAAAAGCAUGCCGGGCUAUGCCUGAGCACGAGCUGUUUGAAGAGUGCGGAGGGAAGAAAAAAGAAAAGAAAUAAUGAAAUAAAAAGACUUGAAGAAAGAUGGAUGUAGCGGUGUGUGUGUGUGUGUGUGUGUGUGUGUGUCUUCAGGUGGAAGUAGUAUUUCACCGCUGAGAGACGGGGAAGGAUGAUGGGAUCUUUCCGUGGGGUGGUGGUACGCACGUCGACGUGUGUGUGUGUGUGUGUGUGUGUGUUUUAUUUUCAUUUUUAAGAGGAGUGGGCUUUUAACAUGCAGCUCAGAAUCUGUCUGUCUGUCAACCCCCCUCUUUGAUGUCCUGCCGCUUCUGUAGCCCUUUGCGGGGGCUUGCGUAUCAUUAAGCAAUUCCAAUGAGUCCCACGUAGAAAGAUGACUGGAUCCCAAAAGUGUUUCAUCAUCAAUAAAGAGGAGUCUGUCUCUCCUUCAACUCGGGGACUUCAAUCACUCCUGAUGCAUUUGUUUGUCCGUAAAUAACCUGCCUCCGAUUAGCAAAAUGAUAUUCUUUGGGCAUUGUUCUGUCCGACGUGCACCCGUCCACGUGCACACGCGUGGGAGUGAUACGCGGCUAAUAUGCGGCGAGCUAAUGUAUGCCCGGUCGCCGGUAAAGGAGAGCACGAGCAUCCCAGAGUGCACCGCACGCUGAAUUUUGAACGAGGGGGGGGGGCAUUAAAUAUUCUUUUUGAUUGCACAUCCAGCUGCAUAUUCUCGGGGAGUGGUUUCGCUUUUAACCGAAUGUGCUGUACACAAGCACUUUGCAGUUUAACAAAUAUCUUUCCCCUGGCAAUGUCUCAGCCCAACGGCGGUUUAGUGCUUAAUCCUUCCCCAACAUGCUCAACGACUGGCUCCACCCAUGGGUGGGCGGGAGGCCGCCGCGUUCACAAAGGGAAUUAUGGGCAUUAUUAAGCUGUUUACAGUAGAAAAAGGCCUCUUGUAUCAUAAACAAACGUAUGGUUUCGGCCCCUUUAAGCCCUCUGCGGGCUAUAACUUAGCACGUAAUGAUGAAAGCGACCUUGCUGCGGAGAGUUGGGUGGGCAGGUUUUACAAAUGUUGCCGGGAACACUUGGGGGAAUACUAAUGUCAGUUGAGGGGAAAAUCUUAAAGCAGUCCUCACCCGACGCCUGCCCCAGAAUCAAGGGUCCUUCUGAAAAGGCCCGUCUUCUCAUCUCUGGCUGUGUUCUGAAAGCUCAUUAGAACCAGAUAUCAAAGAGCGGGGCGGCAGUGAACUGGACACCGCGGGGCUGUUUUUCUCGCGCUCACAUGCGUGCGUUUUGGCUCUCUCUGGAGGUGAUCUGCAUUUGGAUCGAGCGCCACAACUUUCCUUUGUAAUCGGGCCAUUUUGGUGACAUCCGUCAGCAGCCGUGCAACACAAGUUCUACGGACCGAAGGCCUGUUUUUCAACUAAUGCUGGCCUGAGCAUGAAAGGCCUGUUCACGAGUGUGUGUGAAACAAAUAAUAAAAUGCAGAGGCUGUGGUGAUUUAGUUACAAGUGUGAUGCAUUUAAAAGGAUCCAGAUGUUAAUCAAACGUUGAAAAAGCUUCAGGAUUAUUCUUUGAUUUAGAAUAUUGUGCUUUUAUUUUGUUGCUUCUUUGUCUGCAUUUGUUCGAGGCCACUGGUUCACUGGAGGAAAGUCACUAAGACAGAAAAUCAGUAAAAAUGUGAAAAAAUGUAUUCGGGUCUGUUCUGAUAAGAUGAACAUUAUAUUUCUAAUGAGAAUUCAAGAAAGGUGUUUCUGUUAUUGAGCUUACCCUCAUUGAUAUAAAUGUGUAUAUGAAAUAAUAAAAACAAACUGCAGCCUCCAACACGAUCACACAGUUGAAUCAGCACUCCUCUAAAACACCUUCAAUAUUGUAGAUUUAAUUAGUUUCAGCUCAGGGUACCUAAUAAUCAGACGAUUAUACGCGUGUACAUACAUACAUAGUGAACUACGCUCCACCGGUUUCUUCAUUUUCCGUGUUUAUCCAAGACAAGUUAACACAACUCACAGGCCCUUAAACACAAUUUGAUGCGUAGAACAAUGCAGGUGCACGUCUGCGUGUCCUGUCUGCAGUUUCACGGAUGCCAACUCCCUCAACGUCGCGCUUCCCGCCUCAACCUCCCCC